Molecule: ribosomal RNA, 514 nt
Filed under: uncultured Janthinobacterium sp.
Lineage: Bacteria; Pseudomonadati; Pseudomonadota; Betaproteobacteria; Burkholderiales; Oxalobacteraceae
Description: bacterial SSU rRNA
Rfam family: Bacterial small subunit ribosomal RNA
Source: RNAcentral
ACGCGAGUAUAGAGUUUGAUCAUGGCUCAGAUUGAACGCUGGCGGCAUGCCUUACACAUGCAAGUCGAACGGCAGCGCGGAAUGGGGCAACCCGGCCUGGCGGCGAGUGGCGAACGGGUGAGUAAUAUAUCGGAACGUACCUUGGAGUGGGGGAUAACGUAGCGAAAGUUACGCUAAUACCGCAUACGAUCUAAGGAUGAAAGCAGGGGACCGCAAGGCCUUGUGCUCCUGGAGCGGCCGAUAUCUGAUUAGCUAGUUGGUGGGGUAAAGGCCCACCAAGGCAUCGAUCAGUAGCUGGUCUGAGAGGACGACCAGCCACACUGGAACUGAGACACGGUCCAGACUCCUACGGGAGGCAGCAGUGGGGAAUUUUGGACAAUGGGCGCAAGCCUGAUCCAGCAAUGCCGCGUGAGUGAAGAAGGCCUUCGGGUUGUAAAGCUCUUUUGUCUAGGGAAGAAACGGUGGGGGCUAAUGAUCCCUUGCUAAUGACGGUACCUGAAGAAUAAGCACCGGC